AGAGUUUGAUCCUGGCUCAGAACGAACGCUGGCGGCAGGCUUAACACAUGCAAGUCGAACGCCCCGCAAGGGGAGUGGCAGACGGGUGAGUAACACGUGGGAACAUGCCCUUUGGUUCGGAACAACUCGGGGAAACUCGAGCUAAUACCGGAUAAGCCCUAUGGGGGAAAGAUUUAUCGCCGAAGGAUUGGCCCGCGUCUGAUUAGCUAGUUGGUGAGGUAAUGGCUCACCAAGGCGACGAUCAGUAGCUGGUCUGAGAGGAUGAUCAGCCACAUUGGGACUGAGACACGGCCCAAACUCCUACGGGAGGCAGCAGUGGGGAAUAUUGGACAAUGGGCGCAAGCCUGAUCCAGCCAUGCCGCGUGAGUGAUGAAGGCCUUAGGGUUGUAAAGCUCUUUUACCCGGGAAGAUAAUGACUGUACCGGGAGAAUAAGCCCCGGCUAACUUCGUGCCAGCAGCCGCGGUAAUACGAAGGGGGCUAGCGUUGUUCGGAUUUACUGGGCGUAAAGCGCACGUAGGCGGACUUUUAAGUCAGGGGUGAAAUCCCAGAGCUCAACUCUGGAACUGCCUUUGAUACUGGAAGUCUUGAGUAUGGAAGAGGUUGGUGGAACUGCGAGUGUAGAGGUGAAAUUCGUAGAUAUUCGCAAGAACACCAGUGGCGAAGGCGGCCNCUGGUCCAUUACUGACGCUGAGGUGCGAAAGCGUGGGGAGCAAACAGGAUUAGAUACCCUAGUAGUCC
RNAcentral lists this ribosomal RNA (739 nucleotides) under uncultured bacterium. Its description in RNAcentral is "bacterial SSU rRNA". It matches the Rfam family "Bacterial small subunit ribosomal RNA", at positions 8 to 796 of the family's 1533-position model. The record is from RNAcentral.